This is a long non-coding RNA of Pongo pygmaeus (Bornean orangutan), 4529 nucleotides long. RefSeq lists it as uncharacterized. The transcript is spliced from 2 exons. The record is from RefSeq and is a predicted model, not a curated record. NCBI's taxonomy places the organism in Eukaryota, Metazoa, Chordata, Mammalia, Primates, Hominidae.
UGGCAGGUUGCUCAAUGACGCCUAGCCGCACAAAUCAGGCCCCAAGCUGGGCCGGGCUUGAGGGAGGCCCCAAGGCCCCUACAGAAGAGGAGGAGCAGGAGGCAGCCAGUAGUUGCCUAGAGAAAAAAAUAAGCACCAGCCUGUAAAUUGCAAUGUAUAUCAGCAUGAAGCCUUGCUAGCUCUGCUCCCCCCUUGCCAACCACUGCCACGCAGAAACUCCCUGCAUCCUUUCCAGACUUCCCCAGGCUGCUGCCUUAUUUUCAGAUGCCUCUUCCUGCAGUGCCAGAACCGACAGCUAUGAAUGAGAAACAUAGGCUGGAGCUGGAUAAGGAAGGCAUCCCAUAAUGGAGACUGAGUAGAUGUGCAUGAGGACCCAGAGACUUGCACUGAUUUUCACUCAACUGAUGGAAGGAAAUAAUUUACCUUUCGAACCCUAGAACCAGCUUGACUGUUCUAUGGAUCUUGAUGAAGAAAACAAGGAAAGCUGGUAUGUCCUGGAAUGAAACUUGGACCUAACAGGCACAAACAGGGACCCAGACCUUUGCAAUUGAUUGGGUUCUCUAUUGGAUGAGUUAUGUGCUUCCAGACCUAAUCAGAACCACCUGGACUUCCUCAAGGCUCAUCACUGUCCACGCCGCAUGAAGCAUUUGAACUUGACCUGCAUUGAAAUUGAGCCAGGGUACAUAAAAUGAAAGCCCAGCAUCCACUUACAGGAAUAAAUGUACAUCUGCAGAGAGGACUUGGAGUUCUGCAAAAAACACUCAGAGCUUGGUGCUUCUCUUCUUCACUUGGAAUUCUAGCAACUACCACCCAUGAACAUUAAUCUACUCCUUUAAAAACCUCACCCCUUCCAGGAACUUGGGGUGUACUUUUUAUAAGGUGCAUGUGAAACCUGUCUAGAAUGGGGCAAAGGAUGGUGAUAUGUUAUAAAUUCAGCCGGGCUGUCUUCUUGGGCCUCCAAACUGCUUUAGGAAGCCCUGGGCUUUUGUCCAUUUAUCAUUUCUUAUUUAUUUACUUAUUUUAGAGACAGGGUCUUGCUCUGUUGCCCUGGGCUGGAGUGCAGUGGUGUGAUCUUAGCUCACUGCAGGCUCAAACUCCUGGGCUCAAGCAGUCCUCCCAGCUCAGCCUCCUGAGCAGCUGGGGCUACAGGAGUGCAUCAGCAUGCCUGGCUAAUUUUUGUAUUUUUUGUAGAGAUGGCAUCUUGCUAUGUUGCCCAGGCUGGUCUCCAACUCAAGCAAUCUUCCUGCCUUGGCCUCCCAAAGCACUGGAAUUUCAGUUAUGAGCCACCAUGCCCAACCUAUUUAUCAUUUCUUUUAGGAGAGGAAUGUUAAAAAAAAAAUGUAUCCCGGCACUGUUAGGGUGUGUGUGUAUAUGUAUGGGUGUCUGUGUAUGUGUGUGGGUGCAUAUCAGUGUCAGCGUGUGUGGGUGCUGGCAUUGAGAUGUGUUCUUGUGUUUGUGUUGGUGUCUGUGUGUACAAUGUAGUUCCAAUGCCAGGCCACUGGGACUUCUCCUCCUCACUGGCCCUUCUGCUGGAAGCCCCUACAUACUUGGGGUCGAGUGGAAUGUUAAAUUGUGGUACCAAGUCUGCUUUGUAUUGAUCACCUUUUUUUUUUUUUUGAGAUGGAGUCUCACUCUGUUGCCCAGGCUGGAGUGCAGUGGCGUGAUCUUGGCUCAUGCAACCUCUGCCUCCCAGGUUCAAGUGACUCUCCUGCCUCAGCCUCCUGAGAGUAGCUGGUACUGCAGGUGCCCGCCACCACACCUGUCUAAUUUUUUUGUAUUUUUAGUAGAGAUGGGGUUUCAACAUGUUGGCCAGGCUGGUCUCGAACUCCUGACCUCAGGUGAUCUGCGUACCUCAGCCUCCCAAAGUGCUGGGAUUACAGGUGUGAACCACCCCGCCUGGCCUGUAUUGAUCACUCUUUUUCUUGAUUGUCCCUUCAUCACUUCCACUUGUCUGUCAGCACCAUGAGGACGGCUGCCUUGUAUAAUAUGAGCUCUGUGUCUCCCUCCCCACUGCCAUUGCCCUCAGUACAGUGCCUUGCACAUGCCUUAAAUUCAAGAAACUUGUACAGGGUGGUUAAGAAAAAAGAGGAAUGAAUUAAACCAAUUGGACUUCAGAGUGUGGCAGAGCAUGGCCUGGUGGGGCUCCCUGGGGAAAGGCACGUGACUCUAAAGUGGAGAGAGUUGGGCAGCACUCCAGGACCUUUCCUGUCCCUGCCUGGGAGCCUCUCCCCCACCCCCUAUUGGCACUAUUGGGUUGACGUCCUCUUCCAUUAAACUAGCUUUGCUUUUCCAUUGCUAAAGGAAAAUGAUGCACUCAUUCCAGUAUAUUUGGAUGUUUUAAAGGUUGGUCUGGCUUCACAGACGAUGUCCAUCAGUGGCUGACAUACCAAUGAAAUUGAAGAAAAGCUGGUUUUCCAGUAUUUCUUUGGCAGAGAAUCUAGCGGCUGACACUGGAUCAGAAUUAGGGCUCAUAAAACUUAGAGCCAGGACCUUGAAUCCUGAGUGCUCACUUAUAAGAUGCUUUCAAGUCCUUAUCUUGCAGAACAGUUAAAUGUCUGCAUCUGGCUCACUCCCCUUGGGAUCACUUUUUAGAAUGAUCCCUGCUGGUGCAAAGUGUGGAGAGCUGAACUGGCCAGCAAACCUGGGAUGUUUUCUUCUGAAUAAGUGGUUCAUUUGAAUCUUUUAUGUGAAGUUAAUUCUGCAAUAUUUCUUGCUGCAGGACUUGAAAAACCAUAGUCAGAAGGCAGAGAUACAAACCAAAACACCACCAACAUCAAAACAAAACCCAACCAGACAAUAAAACAACAAAAAAGCCCAAACACAAAACCUUCUAUUUAGCAUAGGUCUGCAAAGAAAGGAUUUCUGGGAACCUCACAUAUAGACUCUGAUAGGGAAGGUAAUGGAAGAGGUGGAUUAUGUCCUAACUUGGUCAACAAGUUCUGCUGAGGCUAGGCUGAAAUACUGGUGGAUGGGGGUGCACACACUUUGCAGUCAUCAGGGCAGGGUUUUAUCUUGUUCUUUCUCACUAUUUUUUUGUUUGUUUGAGACUGAGUCUUGCUCUGUCAUCAGGCUGGAGUGCAGUGGCACGAUCUCGGCUCACUGCAACCUCCACCUCCCAGGUUCAAGUGAUUCUCCUGCUUCAGCCUCCCGAGUAGCUGGGACUACAGGUGCGCACCACCACAUCCAGCUAAUUUUUGUAUUUUUAGUAGAGACGGGGUUUCACCAUGUUGGCCAGGAUAAUCUUGAUCUCUCGACCUUGUGAUCUACCUGCCUUGGCCUCCCAAAAUGCUGGGAUUACAGGCAUUUAGCUACCACGCCCGGCCUCUUUCUCACAUUUAGUGACAUCUUGAGAAGUGCCAUAAUAUUGCAGUUGACUUAAAAUUCUGCUUCUUUGCGUCAAAGGACACAAUCAACACAGUGAAAAGGCAACCCACAGCAUGGGAGAAAAUAUUUGAAAAUCAUACAUUUCAUAAGGGAUUAAUACCCAGACUAUAUAAAGAACUCCUACAAUUCUACAACAACAAAAACCAAAUUGCCUAAUUAAAAAAUUCACAAAGGACCUGAAUAGACAGUUCUCUAAAGAAGGUAUACAAAUGGCAGAUAAACAAGUAAAAGAUGUUCAACAUUAGUAAUCAGUAGAGAAAUGCAAAUCAAAACCACAAUGGAAUAUUACUUCCUGCCCAUUUGAAUGGCUACUAUCAAAAACAGAAAUUAGCUGGAUGUGGUGGCAUGUGCCUAUAAUCCCAGCUAUUAAGCAGGCUGAGGGAGGAGGAUCACUUGAGCCCAGAAAUUCGAGGCCAGUCUGGGCAACAUAGCGAGACCCAAUCUCUUAAAUAAACAACAGAAAAUAACAAGUGUUGGCAAGAAUGUGGAGAAAUUGAUUGGAACCUUUGUGCAAUGUUGGUGGGAAUGUAAAAUGCUGCAGCUACUGUGGAAAACGGUAUAGCAGUUUCUCAAAAUCUUCAAAAUAGAAUUACCAUAAGAUCUAGCAAUUCCACUUCUGAGUGUAUACCUAAAAUAACUGAAAUCAGGGACUCAAAGAGAUAUUUGUGCAUCUAUGUUCAUAGCAGCAUUAAUCAUAAUAGCCAAAAGGUAGGCGAGUGGAAAACCAAAAUGUGCUGUAUACGUACUACACAAUAGCAUUUGCUUUUUCUAAGAAUGAAGGAAAUUCUGACAUGCUACAAUGUGGAUGCACCUUGAGGACGUGAUGUUAAGUGAAAUAAGCCAGUCUCAAAAAGACAAAUACUAUAUAAUUCCACUUACGUGAGGUAUCUGCAGUAGUCAAAGUCAAAGAGACAGAAAAUAGGUUGAAGGUUGCCAGGGGCUGGGGGAAGGAGAAAUGAGGAGUUAUUGUUUAAUGGGUAGAGGGUGUCGGUUUUGCAAGAAUUCUGUGGAGGGAUGGUGGUGAUGGUUGCACAAUAACAUGAAUGUACUUAAUGCCACAGAACCGUACACUUAAAGUGGCUAAGAUGGUAAAUUUUCUGUUAUGUGUAUUUUACCACAAUUAAAAAUUAAAAAUAAUUUAAAAA